GGUCGGCUUGAGUCCCCUGACCCCUACUCUCAGGCUGUCCCGGAGCUUUUAAAGACUGAAAUCCAUCAUCAUUACAGUACGUCGUUGCCAAACCCGAGCAAGCCACACAGAAAUACUGACCACUGAGCCCCGCUGCAACCCACAAAUAUCCGGGGACACAGCGAGGCUGCCUCAUUAACUUUUAUCUCAAUUUUAAAGAAACUGGCAUCCUACACAACCCGAGUUCAAAGUUGUCAUGGGGAUACUGCAACUUACAACACAUCACAAAGGUUUAUUCUUCUCCGCCCUAAAAGCCACUAUUGACUACGGUAAUCAGUAAAAUGCUCAGGUCUUCAAGGACACUGAAGUUAAACAAGGUA
Long non-coding RNA from Homo sapiens (human), 359 nucleotides. The record is from Ensembl. Lineage: Eukaryota; Metazoa; Chordata; Mammalia; Primates; Hominidae.